AGAGUUUGAUCAUGGCUCAGGACGAACGCUGGCGGCGUGCCUAAUACAUGCAAGUUGAACGAUGAUUUCUGGUACUUGUAUCAGAAUGAAGAGUAGCGAACGGGUGAGUAACGCGUGGGUAACCUACCUCUUAGCGGGGGACAACUAUUGGAAACGAUAGCUAAUACCGCAUAACAAUAUUAAACACAUGUUUAAUAUUUGAAAGUACCAAUUGGUACACUAGGAGAUGGACCCGCGUUGUAUUAGCUAGUUGGUAGUGUAAUGGACUACCAAGGCGAUGAUACAUAGCCGACCUGAGAGGGUGAUCGGCCACAUUGGGACUGAGACACGGCCCAAACUCCUACGGGAGGCAGCAGUAGGGAAUCUUCGGCAAUGGACGAAAGUCUGACCGAGCAACGCCGCGUGAGUGAAGGAGGUUUUCGGAUCGUAAAACUCUGUUGUUAGAGAAGAACGUUGUGUAGAGUGGAAAAUUACACAAGUGACGGUAUCUAACCAGAAAGGGACGGCUAACUACGUGCCAGCAGCCGCGGUAAUACGUAGGUCCCGAGCGUUGUCCGGAUUUAUUGGGCGUAAAGCGAGCGCAGGUGGUUUAAUAAGUCUGAUGUAAAAGGCAGUGGCUCAACCAUUGUGUGCAUUGGAAACUGUUAGACUUGAGUGCAGUAGAGGAGAGUGGAAUUCCAUGUGUAGCGGUGAAAUGCGUAGAUAUAUGGAGGAACACCGGUGGCGAAAGCGGCUCUCUGGACUGUAACUGACACUGAGGCUCGAAAGCGUGGGUAGCAAACAGGAUUAGAUACCCUGGUAGUCCACGCCGUAAACGAUGAGUGCUAGUUGUUUGGGGCUAUCCAGCCCUAAGU
Molecule: ribosomal RNA, 854 nt
Filed under: uncultured bacterium
Lineage: Bacteria
Description: bacterial SSU rRNA
Rfam family: Bacterial small subunit ribosomal RNA
Source: RNAcentral